UACGGAGGGGGCGAGCGUUAUUCGGAAUUAUUGGGCGUAAAGGGCGCGUAGGCGGCUGUACAAGUCAAAGGUGAAAUCCCUCGGCUCAACUGAGGAACUGCCUUUGAAACUGUACGGCUUGAGGCCGGGAGGGGGUAGCGGAAUUCCCAGUGUAGCGGUGAAAUGCGUAGAUAUCAGGAGGAACACCUGCGGUGUAGACGGCUUACUGGACCAUAACUGACGCUGAGGCACGAAAGCGUGGGUAGCAAACAGG
Molecule: ribosomal RNA, 253 nt
Filed under: uncultured bacterium
Lineage: Bacteria
Description: partial 16S ribosomal RNA
Rfam family: Bacterial small subunit ribosomal RNA
Source: RNAcentral